ACACACAGCGUCUCAAUGAUGGUUCACAUAUUAAACACAAGCAACUAGGACCAAAAAUGGAUGACUGGUCACUGGACUGUUCAGAAGUGAGCUAAGAUAGCAGCCCACUAUGAAGUGUGGAAUUCCACUGUUUUGGCAUGUAUGGAAAGUCAUUUCACUGCAGCCAUGCUGGAGCACCGCCUUUAGUCGUGAAGCACCGUCUUUAGUCGUGGAGCACCGCCUUUAGUCGUGGAGCACUGCCUUAACAACAUGGACAGGGUGUUUAUUUCAUGCUACCUGCAUUAUUGAGGUCACUAUGCAAGUUCGCAGGAUCAUGAGCCCUGAUGGGAGGUGGGAGGAGUGUCAGUAUCUUGCUAGGGGAUGAGGGGACUAUGGUGAGAUGGCAAAUGGGUGCAGAACACUCAUAUCUUGCAGGGAAAAGGGGAGAGAGGAAUAGCAAAAGAUCAAUAGGAACUGUAAGAAAUAAAUAAUAGUAAUGAGGUGCUUGGGUGCCUCCACACUGUACAAACUAAGUAGA
Molecule: long non-coding RNA, 517 nt
Organism: Octopus bimaculoides (California two-spot octopus)
Lineage: Eukaryota; Metazoa; Mollusca; Cephalopoda; Octopoda; Octopodidae
Source: RefSeq, a predicted model, not a curated record